This 68-nucleotide transfer RNA is filed under the name Dicotyles tajacu (collared peccary). RNAcentral describes it as "Pecari tajacu (collared peccary) tRNA-Ala". It matches the Rfam family "tRNA". From Rfam's summary of the family: Transfer RNA (tRNA) molecules are approximately 80 nucleotides in length. Their secondary structure includes four short double-helical elements and three loops (D, anti-codon, and T loops). Lineage: Eukaryota; Metazoa; Chordata; Mammalia; Artiodactyla; Tayassuidae. The record is from RNAcentral.
GGGGAUUUAGCUUAAUUAAAGUGUUUGAUUUGCGUUCAAUUGAUGUAGGAGUAGUCCUGCAAUCCUUA